This 72-nucleotide transfer RNA is filed under the name Ovis aries (sheep). It matches the Rfam family "tRNA". From Rfam's summary of the family: Transfer RNA (tRNA) molecules are approximately 80 nucleotides in length. The record is from Rfam by way of RNAcentral. Lineage: Eukaryota; Metazoa; Chordata; Mammalia; Artiodactyla; Bovidae.
UCCCUUUUGGCUCAGAUGGUAAAGAAUCUGCCUGCAAUGCAGGAGACCCAGGUUCAAUCCCUGGGUCGAGAA